Molecule: ribosomal RNA, 253 nt
Filed under: uncultured bacterium
Lineage: Bacteria
Description: partial 16S ribosomal RNA
Rfam family: Bacterial small subunit ribosomal RNA
Source: RNAcentral
UACGGAGGGUGCAAGCGUUAUCCGGAUUCACUGGGUUUAAAGGGUGCGUAGGGGGGCAAGUAAGUCAGUGGUGAAAUCUCCGGGCUUAACCCGGAAACUGCCAUUGAUACUAUUUGUCUUGAAUACUGUGGAGGUCAGCGGAAUAUGUCAUGUAGCGGUGAAAUGCUUAGAUAUGACAUAGAACACCAAUUGCGAAGGCAGCUGGCUACACAAAUAUUGACACUGAGGCACGAAAGCGUGGGGAUCAAACAGG